AGUGAACGCUGGCGGUAGGCCUAACACAUGCAAGUCGAACGGCAGCACAGUAAGAGCUUGCUCUUACGGGUGGCGAGUGGCGGACGGGUGAGGAAUACAUCGGAAUCUACUUUUUCGUGGGGGAUAUCGUAGGGAAACUUACGCUAAUACCGCAUACGACCUACGGGUGAAAGCAGGAGAUCUUCGGACCUUGCGCGUUUGAAUGAGCCGAUGUCGGAUUAGCUAGUUGGCGGGGUAAAGGCCCACCAAGGCGACGAUCCGUAGCUGAUCUGAGAGGAUGAUCGGCCACACUGGAACUGAGACACGGUCCAGACUCCUACGGGAGGCAGCAGUGGGGAAUAUUGGACAAUGGGCGCAAGCCUGACCCAGCCAUACCGCGUGGGUGAAGAAGGCCUUCGGGUUGUAAAGCCCUUUUGUUGGGAAAGAAAAGCAGCAGAUUAAUACCCCGCUGUUCUGACGGUACCCAAAGAAUAAGCACCGGCUAACUUCGUG
Molecule: ribosomal RNA, 492 nt
Filed under: uncultured bacterium
Lineage: Bacteria
Description: partial 16S ribosomal RNA
Rfam family: Bacterial small subunit ribosomal RNA
Source: RNAcentral